This 254-nucleotide microRNA precursor is filed under the name Loxodonta africana (African savanna elephant). Its description in RNAcentral is "miRNA (ENSLAFG00000024177.1)". Lineage: Eukaryota; Metazoa; Chordata; Mammalia; Proboscidea; Elephantidae. The record is from RNAcentral.
UAUCAUUUCAGUAAGGGUUGCAAAAUAGUGAUUCCUUUUGCAUUAACAGUUUCUCCUAUUAUUAAUAUCUUGCAUUGGUGUGGUACAUUUGUUGUGAUUGAUGAACCAAUAUUAAUAAAUUAUUAUUAUAAUUAAAAAAUUUUUUAAAUUUUGGUGAAAGUAUACUUGGCAAAGCAUACACUCAUUCAACAAUUUCUAUGUGUACAAUUCAAUGCAUUAUUUACAAUCUUCACAUUGUGUCACCAUUCUCACUA